GGAGAUAAUACCUGAUAGAGGAUAAAUACUGGAAGGUUUUAUUCUUCAAAGCUUCGGCACCUGAGGAUGGGACUGCGUCGGAUUAGCUUGUUGUCGGGAUAAUUACCCGACAAGGCGAUAAUCCGUACGGGUUGUGAGAGCAAUAGCCCGGAGAUGGAUUCUGAGACAUGAAUCCAGGUCCUACGGGACGCAGCAGGCGCGAAACCUUCACAAUGCCUGAAAGGGUGAUGAGGGAACUCUGAGUGACUUCGCAAUGCGAAGUCUUUUGCCAAGUGCAAAAAGCUCGGUGAAUAAGUGGUGGGCAAGACAGUUGCCAGCCGCCGCGGUAAUAACUGCGCCACGAGUGGUGAUCUCGUUUAUUGGGCUUAAAGCGUUCGUAGCCGGUUUUAUAAGCAUCUGGUGAAAUCCGAUAGUAAACUAUUGGGCUGGCUAGGUGUACUGUAAGACUAGGGACCGGUAGGGGCCGGGAGUACUCCUAGGGUAGGGGUUAAAUCCUUUAAUCCUAGGGGGACUACCAGUGGCGAAGGCGCCCGGCUAGAACGGGUCCGACGGUGAGGGACGAAAGCUGGGGGAGCGAUCCGGAUUAGAUACCCGGGUAGUCCCAGCUGUAAACGAUGCCCGCUUGGUGUGGUGAAACUUUCGUGGUUUUGCCGUACCGUAGCGAAA
Molecule: ribosomal RNA, 666 nt
Filed under: uncultured archaeon
Lineage: Archaea
Description: bacterial SSU rRNA
Rfam family: Archaeal small subunit ribosomal RNA
Source: RNAcentral